AGUGUACGCUGGCGGUAGGCCUAACACAUGCAAGUCGAACGGCAGCACAGUAAGAGCUUGCUCUUACGGGUGGCGAGUGGCGGACGGGUGAGGAAUACAUCGGAAUCUACUUUUUCGUGGGGGAUAACGUAGGGAAACUUACGCUAAUACCGCAUACGACCUACGGGUGAAAGCAGGGGAUCUUCGGACCUUGCGCGAUUGAAUGAGCCGAUGUCGGAUUAGCUAGUUGGCGGGGUAAAGGCCCACCAAGGCGACGAUCCGUAGCUGGUCUGAGAGGAUGAUCAGCCACACUGGAACUGAGACACGGUCCAGACUCCUACGGGAGGCAGCAGUGGGGAAUAUUGGACAAUGGGCGCAAGCCUGAUCCAGCCAUACCGCGUGGGUGAAGAAGGCCUUCGGGUUGUAAAGCCCUUUUGUUGGGAAAGAAAAGCAGCAGAUUAAUACCCCGCUGUUCUGACGGUACCCAAAGAAUAAGCACCGGCUAACUUCGUG
Molecule: ribosomal RNA, 492 nt
Filed under: uncultured bacterium
Lineage: Bacteria
Description: partial 16S ribosomal RNA
Rfam family: Bacterial small subunit ribosomal RNA
Source: RNAcentral